RNAcentral lists this ribosomal RNA (2898 nucleotides) under Klebsiella pneumoniae. RNAcentral's name for it is "bacterial LSU rRNA". It matches the Rfam family "Bacterial large subunit ribosomal RNA". Lineage: Bacteria; Pseudomonadati; Pseudomonadota; Gammaproteobacteria; Enterobacterales; Enterobacteriaceae. The record is from RNAcentral.
UUAAGCGACUAAGCGUACACGGUGGAUGCCCUGGCAGUCAGAGGCGAUGAAGGACGUGCUAAUCUGCGAAAAGCGUCGGUAAGGUGAUAUGAACCGUUAUAACCGGCGAUGUCCGAAUGGGGAAACCCAGUGUGAUUCGUCACACUAUCGUUAACUGAAUACAUAGGUUAACGAGGCGAACCGGGGGAACUGAAACAUCUAAGUACCCCGAGGAAAAGAAAUCAACCGAGAUUCCCCCAGUAGCGGCGAGCGAACGGGGAGCAGCCCAGAGUCUGAAUCAGCUUGUGUGUUAGUGGAACGGUCUGGAAAGUCCGACGGUACAGGGUGAUAGUCCCGUACACCAAAAUGCACAGGCUGUGAACUCGAAGAGUAGGGCGGGACACGUGGUAUCCUGUCUGAAUAUGGGGGGACCAUCCUCCAAGGCUAAAUACUCCUGACUGACCGAUAGUGAACCAGUACCGUGAGGGAAAGGCGAAAAGAACCCCGGCGAGGGGAGUGAAAAAGAACCUGAAACCGUGUACGUACAAGCAGUGGGAGCACCUUCGGGUGUGACUGCGUACCUUUUGUAUAAUGGGUCAGCGACUUAUAUUCUGUAGCAAGGUUAACCGUAUAGGGGAGCCGCAGGGAAACCGAGUCUUAACUGGGCGUUAAGUUGCAGGGUAUAGACCCGAAACCCGGUGAUCUAGCCAUGGGCAGGUUGAAGGUUGGGUAACACUAACUGGAGGACCGAACCGACUAAUGUUGAAAAAUUAGCGGAUGACUUGUGGCUGGGGGUGAAAGGCCAAUCAAACCGGGAGAUAGCUGGUUCUCCCCGAAAGCUAUUUAGGUAGCGCCUCGUGAACUCAUCUUCGGGGGUAGAGCACUGUUUCGGCUAGGGGGUCAUCCCGACUUACCAACCCGAUGCAAACUACGAAUACCGAAGAAUGUUAUCACGGGAGACACACGGCGGGUGCUAACGUCCGUCGUGAAGAGGGAAACAACCCAGACCGCCAGCUAAGGUCCCAAAGUCAUGGUUAAGUGGGAAACGAUGUGGGAAGGCACAGACAGCCAGGAUGUUGGCUUAGAAGCAGCCAUCAUUUAAAGAAAGCGUAAUAGCUCACUGGUCGAGUCGGCCUGCGCGGAAGAUGUAACGGGGCUAAACCAUGCACCGAAGCUGCGGCAGCGACACUAUGUGUUGUUGGGUAGGGGAGCGUUCUGUAAGCCUGCGAAGGUGACCUGUGAGGGUUGCUGGAGGUAUCAGAAGUGCGAAUGCUGACAUAAGUAACGAUAAAGCGGGUGAAAAGCCCGCUCGCCGGAAGACCAAGGGUUCCUGUCCAACGUUAAUCGGGGCAGGGUGAGUCGACCCCUAAGGCGAGGCCGAAAGGCGUAGUCGAUGGGAAACAGGUUAAUAUUCCUGUACUUGGUGUUACUGCGAAGGGGGGACGGAGAAGGCUAUGUUAGCCGGGCGACGGUUGUCCCGGUUUAAGCAUGUAGGCUGGUUAUCCAGGCAAAUCCGGAUAAUCAAGGCUGAGGUGUGAUGACGAGGCACUACGGUGCUGAAGUAACAAAUGCCCUGCUUCCAGGAAAAGCCUCUAAGCAUCAGGUAACAUCAAAUCGUACCCCAAACCGACACAGGUGGUCAGGUAGAGAAUACCAAGGCGCUUGAGAGAACUCGGGUGAAGGAACUAGGCAAAAUGGUGCCGUAACUUCGGGAGAAGGCACGCUGGUGUGUAGGUGAAGCCCCUGCGGGUGGAGCUGAGACCAGUCGAAGAUACCAGCUGGCUGCAACUGUUUAUUAAAAACACAGCACUGUGCAAACACGAAAGUGGACGUAUACGGUGUGACGCCUGCCCGGUGCCGGAAGGUUAAUUGAUGGGGUUAUCCGUAAGGAGAAGCUCUUGAUCGAAGCCCCGGUAAACGGCGGCCGUAACUAUAACGGUCCUAAGGUAGCGAAAUUCCUUGUCGGGUAAGUUCCGACCUGCACGAAUGGCGUAAUGAUGGCCAGGCUGUCUCCACCCGAGACUCAGUGAAAUUGAACUCGCUGUGAAGAUGCAGUGUACCCGCGGCAAGACGGAAAGACCCCGUGAACCUUUACUAUAGCUUGACACUGAACAUUGAGCCUUGAUGUGUAGGAUAGGUGGGAGGCUUUGAAGCGUGGACGCCAGUCUGCGUGGAGCCAACCUUGAAAUACCACCCUUUAAUGUUUGAUGUUCUAACGUUGGCCCCUUACCGGGGUUGCGGACAGUGUCUGGUGGGUAGUUUGACUGGGGCGGUCUCCUCCCAAAGCGUAACGGAGGAGCACGAAGGUUAGCUAAUCCGGUCGGACAUCAGGAGGUUAGUGCAAUGGCAUAAGCUAGCUUGACUGCGAGCGUGACGGCGCGAGCAGGUGCGAAAGCAGGUCAUAGUGAUCCGGUGGUUCUGAAUGGAAGGGCCAUCGCUCAACGGAUAAAAGGUACUCCGGGGAUAACAGGCUGAUACCGCCCAAGAGUUCAUAUCGACGGCGGUGUUUGGCACCUCGAUGUCGGCUCAUCACAUCCUGGGGCUGAAGUAGGUCCCAAGGGUAUGGCUGUUCGCCAUUUAAAGUGGUACGCGAGCUGGGUUUAGAACGUCGUGAGACAGUUCGGUCCCUAUCUGCCGUGGGCGCUGGAGAAUUGAGGGGGGCUGCUCCUAGUACGAGAGGACCGGAGUGGACGCAUCACUGGUGUUCGGGUUGUCAUGCCAAUGGCACUGCCCGGUAGCUAAAUGCGGAAGAGAUAAGUGCUGAAAGCAUCUAAGCACGAAACUUGCCCCGAGAUGAGUUCUCCCUGAGACUUUAAGUCUCCUGAAGGAACGUUGAAGACGACGACGUUGAUAGGCCGGGUGUGUAAGCGCAGCGAUGCGUUGAGCUAACCGGUACUAAUGAACCGUGAGGCUUAACCU